ACGGAGGGUGCAAGCGUUAUCCGGAUUCAUUGGGUUUAAAGGGUGCGUAGGCGGACUGGAAAGUCAGUGGUGAAAAGUUUGGGCUUAACCCAGACCCUGCCAUUGAUACUAUCAGACUAGAGUACAAACGGCGUGGGCGGAAUAUGUCAUGUAGCGGUGAAAUGCAUAGAUAUGACAUAGAACACCGAUCGCGAAGGCAGCUCACGAGGAUGUUACUGACGCUGAUGCACGAAAGCGUGGGGAUCAAACAG
RNAcentral lists this ribosomal RNA (251 nucleotides) under uncultured bacterium. RNAcentral describes it as "partial 16S ribosomal RNA". It matches the Rfam family "Bacterial small subunit ribosomal RNA", at positions 525 to 775 of the family's 1533-position model. The record is from RNAcentral.